GCAUUGGUGGUUCUGUGGUAGAAUUCUCACCUUUUUAUGUGGAAAACCUGGAUUCGAUUCCUGGCCGAGGCA
RNAcentral lists this transfer RNA (72 nucleotides) under Loxodonta africana (African savanna elephant). It matches the Rfam family "tRNA". From Rfam's summary of the family: Transfer RNA (tRNA) molecules are approximately 80 nucleotides in length. The record is from Rfam by way of RNAcentral. Lineage: Eukaryota; Metazoa; Chordata; Mammalia; Proboscidea; Elephantidae.